This 492-nucleotide ribosomal RNA is filed under the name uncultured bacterium. RNAcentral's name for it is "partial 16S ribosomal RNA". It matches the Rfam family "Bacterial small subunit ribosomal RNA", at positions 29 to 507 of the family's 1533-position model. The record is from RNAcentral.
AGUGAACGCUGGCGGUAGGCCUAACACAUGCAAGUCGAACGGCAGCACAGUAAGAGCUUGCUCUUACGGGUGGCGAGUGGCGGACGGGUGAGGAAUACAUCGGAAUCUACUUUUUCGUGGGGGAUAACGUAGGGAAACUUACGCUAAUACCGCAUACGACCUACGGGUGAAAGCAGGGGAUCUUCGGACCUUGCGCGAUUGAAUGAGCCGAUGUCGGAUUAGCUAGUUGGCGGGGUAAAGGCCCACCAAGGCGACGAUCCGUAGCUGGUCUGAGAGGAUGAUCAGCCACACUGGAACUGAGACACGGUCCAGACUCCUACGGGAGGCAGCAGUGGGGAAUAUUGGACAAUGGGCCUAAUCCUGAUCCAGCCAUACCGCGUGGGUGAAGAAGGCCUUCGGGUUGUAAAGCCCUUUUGUUGGGAAAGAAAAGCAGCAGGUUAAUACCCCGCUGUUCUGACGGUACCCAAAGAAUAAGCACCGGCUAACUUCGUG